RNAcentral lists this transfer RNA (86 nucleotides) under Bacteroidetes bacterium ADurb.Bin035. RNAcentral's name for it is "tRNA-Ser". It matches the Rfam family "tRNA". Rfam says of the family: Transfer RNA (tRNA) molecules are approximately 80 nucleotides in length. Their secondary structure includes four short double-helical elements and three loops (D, anti-codon, and T loops). The record is from RNAcentral. Lineage: Bacteria; Pseudomonadati; Bacteroidota.
UGCCCGGAUGGCGGAAUUGGUAGACGCGCUAGUUUCAGGGACUAGUACUGUCACAAGUGUGCAGGUUCGAGUCCUGUUCCGGGCAU